AUACAUGCAAGUCGAGCGAACAGAUAAGGAGCUUGCUCCUUUGACGUUAGCGGCGGACGGGUGAGUAACACGUGGGUAACCUACCUAUAAGACUGGGAUAACUUCGGGAAACCGGAGCUAAUACCGGAUAACAUUUGGAACCGCAUGGUUCUAAAGUGAAAGAUGGUUUUGCUAUCACUUAUAGAUGGACCCGCGCCGUAUUAGCUAGUUGGUAAGGUAACGGCUUACCAAGGCGACGAUACGUAGCCGACCUGAGAGGGUGAUCGGCCACACUGGAACUGAGACACGGUCCAGACUCCUACGGGAGGCAGCAGUAGGGAAUCUUCCGCAAUGGGCGAAAGCCUGACGGAGCAACGCCGCGUGAGUGAUGAAGGGUUUCGGCUCGUAAAACUCUGUUAUUAGGGAAGAACAAACGUGUAAGUAACUGUGCACGUCUUGACGGUACCUAAUCAGAAAGCCACGGCUAACUACGUGCCAGCAGCCGCGGUAAUACGUAGGUGGCAAGCGUUAUCCGGGAAUUAUUGGGCGUAAAGCGCGCGUAGGCGGUUUCUUAAGUCUGAUGUGAAAGCCCACGGCUCAACCGUGGAGGGUCAUUGGAAACUGGGAAACUUGAGUGCAGAAGAGGAAAGUGGAAUUCCAUGUGUAGCGGUGAAAUGCGCAGAGAUAUGGAGGAACACCAGUGGCGAAGGCGACUUUCUGGUCUGUAACUGACGCUGAUGUGCGAAAGCGUGGGGAUCAAACAGGAUUAGAUACCCUGGUAGUCCACGCCGUAAACGAUGAGUGCUAAGUGUUAGGGGGUUUCCGCCCCUUAGUGCUGCAGCUAACGCAUUAAGCACUCCGCCUGGGGAGUACGACCGCAAGGUUGAAACUCAAAGGAAUUGACGGGGACCCGCACAAGCGGUGGAGCAUGUGGUUUAAUUCGAAGCAACGCGAAGAACCUUACCAAAUCUUGACAUCCUUUGAAAACUCUAGAGAUAGAGCCUUCCCCUUCGGGGGACAAAGUGACAGGUGGUGCAUGGUUGUCGUCAGCUCGUGUCGUGAGAUGUUGGGUUAAGUCCCGCAACGAGCGCAACCCUUAAGCUUAGUUGCCAUCAUUAAGUUGGGCACUCUAGGUUGACUGCCGGUGACAAACCGGAGGAAGGUGGGGAUGACGUCAAAUCAUCAUGCCCCUUAUGAUUUGGGCUACACACGUGCUACAAUGGACAAUACAAAGGGCAGCUAAACCGCGAGGUCAUGCAAAUCCCAUAAAGUUGUUCUCAGUUCGGAUUGUAGUCUGCAACUCGACUACAUGAAGCUGGAAUCGCUAGUAAUCGUAGAUCAGCAUGCUACGGUGAAUACGUUCCCGGGUCUUGUACACACCGCCCGUCACACCACGAGAGUUUGUAACACCCGAAGCCGGUGGAGUAACCAUUUAUGGAGCUAGCCGUCGAAGGUG
Molecule: ribosomal RNA, 1435 nt
Filed under: Staphylococcus saprophyticus
Lineage: Bacteria; Bacillati; Bacillota; Bacilli; Caryophanales; Staphylococcaceae
Description: 16S ribosomal RNA
Rfam family: Bacterial small subunit ribosomal RNA
Source: RNAcentral